CAGCUGUGUGGUGUUUGCUGCCUGCCAGACUGAACUGCAACUGCCUAACUGCAAAGAGAAUCUUAGUUCAGACUUAACAGCUUGUAAUGGUAAAAGAGGGUUAAUUGUUGUCUCUGAGGACUGAUGUUCAGAACCUGGAUGCGGGCCCUCAAGUAAGAAACCACUCAUAUAUUACUACAAAGAAGCAGUCAAUCUAACUGCAGUUUCCACACUGUAAGAGGUCAUCCUUUUACGCCAUUGCCUCAAAGCUUGCUGAGGGACACAGAUGAAUAAGUUCAAGCAAGUCCUGACCAAGGAUUAGAAAAUCCUUUAUCUGAAGAGACAACAGAUGGACAAGGACAGGGGCAAUGAGAGAGAGAUAAGUGGCAGCUAAAUGGCCAAGAAACAGUCUUCUGUGUGGACUUAUCUCAAGGGAGACAGCCAUCUCAGGGGGUGCUCACAUGGUGCUUACCCAAGCGCCCAGGAAUGUCACGUAGGCAGGGAAGAAGGAGGAUAAAAGAGGGUCCAACAACCAUGAAGGCAGGUUUCUGACAACAGAUUCCUCAUGACCUGCCUCUCCCUACUGGGCUUGCUCUGUUCUCUACCUGCUUGCUGCCUAAGGAUGGCCCCUCUUCUGCUGCUCUCCCUUCUGAGGAGGCUGUCUGCCAUCAGAUCCCUCACUACAAAAGGCCUGCAUGCUGACGGACUCUCCAGGGCCUGCUACUGGAGACCUGUUGCUUCCGCCUGGACUUCUUCCUGGACCUACUUGGUACCUGCACCUUCUUGCUGCCCAAGACCGGCCACGCUGCUGCUGCUCUUCCCCUGUGCUUUUGCCCCAGACCAUCGGAACGUCAUGCAGUGGGACUGCUGCUGAAUCCUGGUGUUUUAAGAGCUGCUGUUGUGAUAAGGAGACACUGCUUUUUCUCCAGG
This is a long non-coding RNA of Gallus gallus (chicken), 909 nucleotides long. The record is from Ensembl. Lineage: Eukaryota; Metazoa; Chordata; Aves; Galliformes; Phasianidae.